CCUGGGCUCAGCAAGCCUCCUGCCUUGGCUUCCCAGAGUGCUAGGAUUUCAGGCGUGAGCCACCACGCCUGGCCAAUUGUAGAGUUUAAACCAUUUUUGGGGACGUCCGCUGCUGCUGGUUACUCAGCACUCCAGGUAUUUUUCUCUGAAGGAAAGCUGUAUCCUUUUAUGCUUCAAGAAUGGCUCUCCCUAUCAUCGUAAAGUGGGGUGGACAGGAAUAUUCAAUGACCACACUUUCAGAAGAUGAUACUGUGCUAGAUCUCAAUUUCUUAAGACCCUUAACGGGAGUGCUGCCAGAACGCCAGAAGUUACUUGGACUCAAAGUUCAAGGCAAACCUGCAGAAAAUGAUGUUAAGCUUGGAGCUGUCAAAUUGAAACCAAAUACUAAAAUCAUAAUGAUGGGAACUCAUGAGGAGAGCUUGGAAGAUGUCUUAGGUCCACCCCCUGACAGUGAUGAUGUUGUUAACGACUUUGAUAUUGAAGACGAAGUAGUUGAAGCAGAAAAUAGGGAAGAGAGCCUACUGAAAAUUUCUCGCAGAGUAAAAGAGUACAAAGUGGACAUUUUGAAUCCUCCCAGGGAAGGGAAAAAGCCUUUGGUACUAGAUGUUGAUUAUACAUUAUUUGACCACAGGUCUUGUGCAGAGACUGGGGUAGAAUUAAUGCAGCCAUAUCUUCAUGAAUUCCUAGCAUCUGCAUAGGAAGAUUAUGACAUUGUUAUUUGGUCUGCAACAAAUAUGAAGUGGAUUGAAGCUAAAAUGAAAGAGCUGGGAGUGAGCACAAAUGCAAAUUAUAAGAUUACCUUCAUGUUGGACAGUGCUGCUAUGAUAACAGUGCAUACCCCAAGGAGAGGAUUAAUAGAUGUCAAACCUCUUGGUGUUCUAUGGGGAAAGUUUUCGGAGUUUUACAGCAAAAAACCCACCAUUAUGUUUGAUGAUAUAGGAAGAAAUUUUCUAAUGAACCCGCAGAAUGGAUUAAAGAUAAGACCUUUUAUGAAAGCACACUUAAAUCGAGAUAAAGACAAAGAACUUUUAAAAUUAACUCAGUGCCUCAAGGAAAUAGCAAAAUUAGAUGACUUUUUGGAGCUAAAUCACAAAUAUUGGGAAAGGUAUCUCUCAAAGAAGCCAGGACAGUAGUUACAGUUGUAAUGGCAGUUAUUGAAGAUACUUGAGAUCCAUGAACUUCUUGCUUUUAUGCUCGAGAUCAUUAUUCUAGUGCUGGACACUGAAGCAAAUAUCAGACUGCUUAUACUUGGUCUUCCAGUGUUUUGUAAAUGUAAUUUUAUAUUUUCUGAAGAUCAUAGCAAUAUGCUAAAAAAAAUUUUUCCCCCAAUAUGAAUAUUCUGUUACUCUUCGAAAAUAUUUUCUCCAGCAUUGAUUACUGAGGGCUUUUUUUUUCCACACACAUAAAAAAAAAGUGGAAAAAAUAUAUACUCAACAAUGCCAUUUUGUGACUUUGGAAACAAGUUAUGUUUUUGUCUCAUGUUAUUGUUCGACUAAAUCUGAGACCAAACCCAUCUUGAAACUAAUGCUUUUCCUUUUAAAACCAAAAAAAAAAUUUUUUUUUUCAAAUAAAGAACCUAGUUUGUUACGCUUAAAAAAAUAAAUAAAUAAAACAAACCAUUUUUUGCUUAACAUCAUUACUGAGAAGGAAGGACUCAUUUCUGCUCUUUAGUUAUUUGUUUUCUUUAUGUCUGAUAUGUAUCUUGUUCCUCAAUUCUUCCAUUACGGCCUAUAUAUAAAAAUAUAUAUAUUUAGUUGUUUUCUUGUUUUCUUGGUGUGCACUGUUUUGAUUUCCCUCUUCUUUGUACCUUGUGUGACCAUUUACAUGAAUCUUAAGGACAUGUGUAUGAUAUGGAGUUGACAAGGGGAGACUUGUGAUGGUUAAUUGUAUGUGACAACUUGGUUAGGCCACCAUACCCAGAUACUUGGUCAAACAUUAUUCUAGGCCUUUCUGUGGAGAUAUUAUUUAGAAAGAUUAAUAUUUAAAUCAUAGACUUUGAAUACAGCAGAAUAUCCCCAUAAUGUAAGUAGACUUCAUUGGUUGAAAGACAUUUUUAUUCAAUACUUUAAAUACAUCACUCACUGUAUCAUGGCCAGUAUGGUUUGUGAUGAGAAAUCAGUUGAUAACCUCAUAGAGGUUCCCUAGUACAUACCAAGUGGGCUACUGGCUGCUUUCAAGAUUUUCUGUUUGUGUUUGGCUUUUGUCCAUUUGACUUUAAUGUGUCUUGGUAUGAUUUUCUUUGAAUUUAGCCUGCUUAAAGAUUGUUUAUCUUCUUGGAUGUGUAGACAAGUCUUUUUCAAAAGUCUUGUGCCUCUUUGUUAAAUCUAUUCCUAAAUGUUCUAUUCUUUUUGACCCACAGUGAAUGAAAUUGUUUUCUUAAUUUCAUUUUUGGACUGUUCUUUGCUACUGAAAGACUUUUACACUGAAAAUUAUAAAACAUUGCUGAAAGAAAUGAAAAAAAAAAAACCUAAAUAAACAGAGAGACACUAUGUUUAUGGACUGGAAGACUUAAGAGUGUGACGAUGACAAAUUAACCAAAGCGAUAUACAGAUGUAAUUCUUAUCAAAAUCCUAACAGUGUUAUUUCAAAAAUGGAAAAACCCAUCCCCAAAAUCAUACGAAAUUUAAAACAAACGAAAUCAACCAAAACAAUCUUGUAAAAGAAAACCAAAGUUGGGGGACUCACACUAUCCAAUUUCAAAAAUGCUUCUCACUUCUGGGGUAGCUUUGGCUUCCAUUUAUUUGGGUCAUUCUUUGACUUUCUAGAAGUAGGACCCAUGUUUUCCUUCCAUUUUCCUUCCAUGACUGAUGACAUGAGCUUUAAUUUUGAAGGCUUUUCCCAUUAUCAUAUUACUUCUGCUCCUGUUUAUAUCUUCCACUAACUGAGAGCUCACUGAGGACAGGUAUUGGGACGUCCUUGUGUGAGUUUCCAGGGUGUACGAUGGUGCUGUCCAAUGUUGGUAGUCAGUAGACCCAUGUGACUGUCCAUCACUUGAAAUAUGCAGCUGUACACUGAGACAUGCAAAGAGUGAGAAAUGCACACUAUGAUUUGAAACAUACUAAAAAAGUGUAAAAUAUCUCCAUGUUUUACGCUGAUUAUGUACUUAAGUGAUAUUAGUUUGGGUAUAUGAAGUUAAAAUGCAUUAUUAAAAUGAAUUCACCUCUUUCACUUUUUUGAUGUGGUGAGUAUGAAUUCAAAUUUAAUUUGUGGCUUGUAUUAUAUUUCUGUUAGCAUUGCUGAUCUAAGGUAUGUAAUAAAUGCAGAACUGAUGAACUGACCAAGCCAGGUACAGUGGAUUUCCCUGUUUGGGUUCCACUGAUGGCUGAAAAGGUACUCCAGCCUCUAAGAAUCCUGUGAAGAUUCAUUUACCAGCUUUUUGUCUCCUCUCCCAGGAACCCAUAUGUC
Molecule: non-coding RNA, 3405 nt
Organism: Microcebus murinus (gray mouse lemur)
Lineage: Eukaryota; Metazoa; Chordata; Mammalia; Primates; Cheirogaleidae
Source: RefSeq, a predicted model, not a curated record